GACUUUGGAUGGAUGGAGACUCAUGAGCUGGAAGCACUUAAAGUUCUAGAGGAGGAGAGCCUGCUCUGCAUGGGAUCCUGCCCUGCAUUGUGUGUUGUAGGGACCGGUGAAAAGAAUGAGGAAUGGUUGUUCUCCCCCAUCAGUUCAUGAAAUACUUGAAACAAGGUUGGAGAAGAGGUGGAGCCUGUGGAAUUUGGGCCUGAUCUGUGGCCCCUCAAGGGAAGGCUGACACUGGGCCAGAUGAAGACACCUGUGCCUCAUCCCAGCAGCUAAGAAGUUGUUGAACCAGUGGGUAAGUUCCCUUGUUCCUGGGGUUGGUGACUGCAUGAAACCCAGACCGAGGAGGUAUUUUCCAGAUGCUUCUGUAGGAGAUGGGCAGCAUGACCACAUCUAAGCUGCCUUGAUUAGGAUAGGGUCCUUUCCCCCUUUUUUCUGCCAACAGAAUGCCCAUCCCUUAGGGUGCUCCAGCACUUGGACCUGAGCCUCAGUGAACUGGCAGAGAGAGGAAGGACAAACAGAGCAUACAUCCAGUGACCUAGAACUGCUGAAAGAGGCAGAUGGCAACAUGAGUUUUAAAAAAAUAAGCACUACAGAUAUUUAAAUAUAGUAAAAAGAGACUGUGGAGCUAAAAAUAUGAUUUCCCAAUUAAAUGGUUCAGUUGAUGAGUUGAAGGAGAAAAUGAUCACUACUGAGAUUCAGAUAUGCAGCCUGGUAAAUCAAGGUCAGCAAAUAGCUUAAAGUUCAGAACAAAAAAUAUAGAGAUGGAAAUUAGAGGGAAAAAUGCUUUGGAAGGGCAGAUCUAAUGACCUAACAUAUAAAUAACAGGACUUCCAGAAGAAGAAAAUGGAAUAGAUGAAAGAAAUAAUAAAUGUGAUUGAAAAAUAUUGCCCUGAGCUGAAGGAAAACUUCAGUCUGUAAGAUUGAAAAGAUUCCCUGGGGGCUCUCUGCAGGCUCAGUCGGUUGAGCGGCCUAAUUUGGCUCAGGUUGUGAUCUCAUAGCUCGAAGGCUCAUGAGUUCAAGCCCCCAACUGGGCUGUGUGCUGACAGCUCAGAGCCUGGAGCCUGCUUCAGAUUCUGUGUGUGUGUGUGUGUCUCUCUCUCUGCCCUCCUCUGCUCACACUCUGUCUCUGUCUCUCUCUCAAAAAAUAAUAAAAUAAACAACAACAGCAACAAAAAAGAUUUCCUGAAUUUCAGACUGAACUGACAAGAAAGUACCUAGGUCUAUUUCUGAACCCUAAGGAUAAAAGAGGAAAAUGUUAUAAGGUCCAGGCAAUUACCUCAACUGACCUAUAAAGAGAAAAGAACCAGAUUGGCAUUACACUUUUCAUCUAGUACUAAAGCUAGAAGCUAAUGAAAUAGACUUUAUAGGACUGUGCCUAUUCAAGUUAUCUACCUGUUAAGGAAAAAGAAAUAUAUCGAGGCUAAUCAUAAGUGAACCAGGAGAGAAUGGAAUGCAAAAGUAGAAUGGAACAUUCAAAUUAACAAGGGGGAAAAUGGAAACCAGCAAAAAUAAGAAAAAGUAAAAGAGAGAGGAAAAUACUUACAGUCUGUUCUCUUUAUUCUAGGAUUCCAUAUCUGCAAAUUUACCUACUUGCUAAACUUGCUUUGUAACCCCAAAAUCAGUAUUGCGAAAUGCAGUAUGUACAGGGAAUACAAGAUAUAUGGCUACUUUGGAAAACAGUUUGGCAGUUUCUUACGAACUAAACUCUUACCAUAUGAUCCUAAUUGAACUCCUAAGUAUUUAACCAAAUGAGUUGAAAAUUUAUGUUCGCAUAAAAGCUGCACAUGGAUGUUUAUGGCAGUCUUAUUUAUAAUUACCAAAACUUGGAAGCAACCACAAUGUCCUUCAGUAAAUGAAUGGAUAAAAUUAACUGAAGUACAUGAAGACAGUGAAUAUUAUUCAGUGCUAAGAAGAAAUGAAUCAUCGAGCCAUGAGAAGAUAUGGAGGGGCCUUAAAGCAUAUUACUAAGUGAAAGAAGUGAUCUGAAAAGGCUAUGUACUGUAUGAUUCCAACUAUAUGGCAUUCUGGGAAAGGCAAACUAUGGAAGCAGUAAAAGAUCAGUAGUUUCAAUGUUAAAAAAAAUUAAAAGAAAAAAAGAUCAUUAGUUUCUAGGGGUUGAGAGGAGAGAGGGAGGAAUGAAUAGGUGGAGCUCAGAGGAUUUUUAGGUCAGUGAAACUACUCUGUAUGAUACCAAAAUGGUGGAUACAUCUCAUCAUACAUUUGUCCAAACCCAUACAAUGUAUAACACCAAGAGUGAACCCUAAUGUCAAGCAUGGAUUUUGGGUGACAAUGAUGUGUCAAUGUAGGUUUAUGACUUGUAGCAAAUAUAGCACUCUGGUGUGGGAUGUUGAUAGUGGGGGAGGGAGUGGCCACGUGUGUAGGGACACAAAGGGUAUGCAAAAACUUUUUGUAUAUUUUCCUUUGGUCUUUUCUAAUAUCUAGAAAACUUAAUCCUGACAGGUGUACUUAAAGUACCUCCCUACCUCAAGCCCUGCUUCCCCCAACUGUGUUAAAAUGGGAAGCCGUUUUUCAAAAAGCAAGAAAAUAAAAACAAAAAAGGAAGCCAUAUUUUCACCAUAAUAGAAAAAUAAGAUAUACUUAAAAUAAGUAGAAGGUAGCCGAAAAAGUGAAUAUAAUAAAAUCAAAACGAAGCUAUUAAAUUCUAGCUGCUAUUGCCAGCAGAUGGCUCAGAGCUAAGGCCUGCUCAAUAUGUUAUAAAGGAAGAUCACAGUCAUUAGAGAAGUGUUAAAGGCCCGCCAGCACCAAAUGGAGACCUUCUCUUCUACAGGAUUAAGGAACUGAAAAGGGACUGCAAAGGACAGUGCUCCUUCAGUGCCUGCUUUGAUAUCAUUUGAGGCUCUGCUCCUGUGUCACCUAAAAUUCCUGGUGUCUGAGCUCCAGUCCUUGGGAAAUGCUGAUUUAGUCUAAACCUAUAGCCAGCCCCUGGAAAGAUGGGCACCUCACACAAGGUCAAACAGCUGGGUGGUAGUGUGUCCUACCACACCAGGCUGGCUCCUCCUGAAGAAACAGAAUUCUCUCUAGAUGUUUUAAAGAAGCAGCAAAAUCAGGAGAUGACAUUCAGUUCUAUUCUUUGCUGGUCGUGGAAAAUAACUCCUUGCUCUUUUCCUUUCAGUCACUUAGACAAAUAAUCUCAUUUAUAUGAAAAUUAAAAUAGAUGUUCAAGGGGUGGCAUGGAAUAUAUAAAGCACGGAAUAUAUCUAGGAGGAGAAAAAUAUUCAUCAAGAAACCAUUUAAAAUGCUUUGUCUUGUUUCUCAGGGCGGGGAAGGAAUUUAAGAAUAGAACUCACGGAAGCAAGAGUUCCAAAUGGAAGAGAACAGUGGUGGGUAAUUAUAAUGUGAUGGGUAAUUAUGGUUUUCCAGGAAGUGCCUGAAUUACAGGGCCGGUGUCAUUUCCAUGUUGCUUCCUUCUGAGAAAAAUAAUGCAAGCCAAAAAAAAUUGACGUGUGGCCCGUAGGCAUUUGAAACCUGUACACACCUUGUCCAAGGCAAGGCAGCUUUGUUUCAGGAGCUCACGACUGUCCCCGUCCUUCUUCCAGCUUGGGUCACCUGGCGUGAGGGGUAGCUGUCAGUGACUUCUCCACCUCCCCUGACCGCUCUCUAUAGUGAAGGUGGCACUGUUCACCAGGCUCCUCCCUGGCUUCUCUGUGGCUCCAAGAGAGAUGAAAUGGCGAGAAAGUCAACACUGAUGAGGUCAUGGAGAAUGGGCAGCCGUGAAAUAGCAGAUUCUGUUUCCCUUCUCUGUACAAAGGCAACCUUUCAUUCCCUUGGAAAAAUCCACCGUGGGCCCUCGUGAAGAAGUGGUCUUCCCCAGGACUCCUGUUUACUUAGCUCUCGCCUAGGAGGCCAGGACUGGCUGACACAAAUGCCACCCUUUUUAAGGCAUACUGACCUCAAAUUGGCAGCGUGGAGAAAUGAGAGUUUGUGUGUGGAGCCCACAGGGAAGGUCCAUGGAAUUUUCCUGCACCAUUUUGACUGCAACAGGAGCAGCUGUUUUAUGCAGUUGUUUUGAUGCGGGGACAUUUUGACUCAGCCUAAAACCCAACUGUUAAACUUUAGGCUUAAAAAAAAAAAAAAGGCCAAGUACACGCAUUCCUAUCGUAUUCCUGAGCCUCACCUCCUUGGGGUGGGGUAAGAAUCAGAAAUGGAAUGGGGUGAUAAGAUUCUUUUUGCAAAUUGAUGAUUUUAAAACGUGUUUUACACUUUGACAAAACCGGUCAGAGCAUCAAGAAGGUGGCAUCAGAGUGGUAACGUUCAAACAUCCAGCUGCUCAUCUAGCCCCACUCUUGGCCCCCAAUAUGGCACCCUUUUUCUCAUAUUGUCUUCCGUGUUGAUUCUUGUCACAGCCCCAACACACACUCUGUAGAGACAGGCACCCCUUCUUCUGAGCCUCUGACAGUAACAGCUGUUCAGUGCCUGCUUACUUGACUAAUAGAAUAAAAUGUGCUUAUAUUCAGCUGGGACUUUCCCACAUCUCUGAAAAGCAAAGAUGAUAAAUGAAGAAAGAUCUCUAGA
Molecule: long non-coding RNA, 4533 nt
Organism: Neofelis nebulosa (Clouded leopard)
Lineage: Eukaryota; Metazoa; Chordata; Mammalia; Carnivora; Felidae
Exons: 2
Source: RefSeq, a predicted model, not a curated record